Molecule: non-coding RNA, 86 nt
Organism: Jatropha curcas
Lineage: Eukaryota; Viridiplantae; Streptophyta; Magnoliopsida; Malpighiales; Euphorbiaceae
Source: Rfam
AGAACAGAGCAUAGCCAAGAACAACUUGCCGGCAAUAUAUAUGGAGAUCCGGCCGGCAAGUCAUCCUUGGCUCCAUUCUACUCUUU